UGGUCUCUUACAUCUUUUUCCACAGAAGUAUUAAGGCAUUUAACUUUCAUUUAGGCCACUGAUUUUCCAUUACUUUCAGCUAGAAAUAACACGUCUGGAUACCUAGGAGGAUCUGAGUCUCUGUGCUGAUCCUUGCAGCACUGUGGUUACUGCACAGCGUGUUUGCAGCACAUUUCAGCUCUGACAGGCAGCGAUGCUUUUCAGCAGUUUCUGGCUCUAAGAGUGCCAAACCUGAAACCUCUGAUCAGGAAUGUGAUUUGCAAAUCUACCCAAGCAGACACUUUUGGAGAGAUGAAGCACGGUCAAAAGUUGGAUCCAAACUUUUUCCAGAAAUGGGGUUGGAUGUGAGCAGAAAGCCUGGCCAGAGUUGCUGCCUCCAGAAACUGCUCUGUGGCUCAGUGUGAGCAUGCACACACAAAAGUCCCAGUGCAACGUGGAGAUCAAGAGGAUCAAGGUGUUCCAGCUUUUCAUCCUCAGUGCUGGUGCAGAAAAGCUUCAAGUUUUGUUGUUUGCCUUCGUUACCUGCAGUCCGCAGGGGCAGGCAGUUUCGGGGAGCAGGGGCCGCUUCGUGGGUCCCGCUCUGCAGCUGUGAGCUCUGCAGUGGAGAAAGGACAGAGUCUGCCAGAGGCCCGCAGCUGCAUCAGGUGGAAAGGCGACUCCCAUCGCCAGCAGAGGAUCCGCUGGGGCCCAGGCACCCUGCCUGUGAGGGAGAGCUGCCAGCUCUGCCUCUGAAGUCGUGCUGUGGAUCCCAGUGAAGCAGUGCUAACGCGAGCCUUAAGCAAUACAGAGACUGGCUGCUACUGGACCAUCGCAGGGCUGAAAAUGCCCUUAGCACCUUUGAAAACCAACCAGCAGAACAUUUUUAUUGUCUGAUAACCGAGCAAUUAACUCGUGUCACAACUGUAUAGCGUUUCUUUACAUAAUAUGGAGCUUUUAAGAAGAAAAUUAAACCUGCCAAGCAUCAUUACAUGAUAAGCCUACCAAGCAAGCAACUAUUCAGAUUUCAGAGGCCUUGACUGAAGAACCUGGGAAAGUUCAGACAACUGGAAAAUGUAAGCAUCUGGCCAGACUCCAGAUAAUUUACCAGUACAUUAGAGGUAAUUUUUUGCUGGGUUCAUGUAUACCUGGUGAUUCCUAUUCAACUAUGGAAAUUGUUCUUGUAUACGUCCUCAUUACAUGCAAGUGACACGUUAGACACCAAGCUACAGCCUGUUGCUCCUGCUGCUUCUGAUCAGAAACCUGACAUCUCACUGAAAUGGAAGUGAAAAUGUGGAAGCCUUUGGAAGAUCUUGGUAGGAAUCCUAUGGAGUGCAUUAGCAUUUGGUGAGCUGGGCACAAGAAUUACUCAGGAAAUUAAAAGGAGGAUGAUAUUUUGAGGUGAUAAAACAUUAAAAUAUGGAACUUGCAUUUGAGUCAGAUCCAGACUUAAUUUUCCCUUUUUAAGCUGUAGCUUAUGAAAAGCCUGAUUCUACGCCAGUAACGAGUGAAGUCUUUGGGAUAUUGCAAGACGGAGAAGAGAACAAAUUUGAUGGUGCUGGUGUUGGGCUUCUCAGUGACAUUUUGAUGAAAUGAAAAAUGCUGAAACAAGUCAAAGGACAGGGAAGGUGGCAGAGUAGCUGAAACAAAACGGCAGGCAAGCCUACUUACAUGACACGUUAAUUAAGGCGAUGUAGUUGUAGCUAUCCAUGCUGCAGUGGGUCACUGAACAAGGAGGAAGCAGUGGGACGGCUACAGCCUCUUUGAUAAUGAAUUCAUUUUGAUAGGCUCCCGCUGACACCUACAAAUGUUUCUCUGACAGAGUCAGCCUUUCAGAAGAGCUAAAUUCUCAACAGUGCAGCUUUGGCUUAGGUGGUCCUGCUGCCACACCAGCUGGGGGGACAUAACGAUUUUGAGAUACCAUUCUCUUUUUUUCGAGAAAAACGUGGAUGUGAAGGAAAAAUUCAUCCCUCAGUUUGCUGCACAGACUAGCUCUAAUAUGAAGGUCUUGAACUUACAAAAUAGCAAUACAGAUCCUUCCCAUGUCCUCCAGCUUCACCCAAUUUCCAGGCUGACUCAAGUUGUCCCAAGAGGCUGUGGAGGACCGUCCCCUGGAGUCUAUCUUCAAAGGAACUGAGGUUUACAAAAAGGUCUGUAUUUUGCUGCAAGUACCAGAAAAAAAAAAAAAAAAAAGAUGAUGUGGGCAUGAAACCUGUAAGGAGGCACUCUGCAAAUGUCUUCCCGGGGCCGCUGGAAUGAGGAACACCCCAAGCCUCCAGCUACAGCCCUGUGGUCCUGGGGCCGCGCUGUGUUGGGCGCAGCUCACAGAUGCUGCAUGGUGCUGGUGUGAGGCCUUGGCUGCUGGUGAAAUACAAACCAGCCCUUUUUUUUAAUUAGAUGUAUUUAGCUCUGCUGUGGCCUGUUGGAAAUAUGUGUACAGAGAUUAACAAAGCAUUCUGUAAAGGCAGGAAAAAAUAAAGUAUCCUUAGUGAAAUACA
Long non-coding RNA from Anser brachyrhynchus (Pink-footed goose), 2474 nucleotides. The record is from Ensembl. NCBI's taxonomy places the organism in Eukaryota, Metazoa, Chordata, Aves, Anseriformes, Anatidae.